GAUGAACGCUGGCGGCGUGCCUAAUACAUGCAAGUCGAGCGAACGGACGAGAAGCUUGCUUUUCUGAUGUUAGCGGCGGACGGGUGAGUAACACGUGGAUAACCUACCUAUAAGACUGGGAUAACUUCGGGAAACCGGAGCUAAUACCGGAUAAUAUUUUGAACCGCAUGGUUCAAAAGUGAAAGACGGUCUUGCUGUCACUUAUAGAUGGAUCCGCGCUGCAUUAGCUAGUUGGUAAGGUAACGGCUUACCAAGGCAACGAUGCAUAGACGACCUGAGAGGGUGAUCGGCCACAGUGGAACUGAGACACGGUCCAGACUACUACGGGAGGCAGCAGUAGGGAAUCUUCCGCAAUGGGCGAAAGCCUGACGGAGCAACGCCGCGUGAGUGAUGAAGGUCUUCGGAUCGUAAAACUCUGUUAUUAGGGAAGAACAUAUGUGUAAGUAACUGUGCACAUCUUGACGGUACCUAAUCAGAAAGCCACGGCUAACUACGUG
This 497-nucleotide ribosomal RNA is filed under the name uncultured bacterium. Its description in RNAcentral is "partial 16S ribosomal RNA". It matches the Rfam family "Bacterial small subunit ribosomal RNA", at positions 28 to 507 of the family's 1533-position model. The record is from RNAcentral.